CGCGUAGGCGGUUUGGUAAGUCAGAUGUGAAAGCCCUGGGCUCAACCUGGGAAUUGCAUUUGAUACUGUCAGACUAGAGUAUGGUAGAGGGAAGUGGAAUUCCAGGUGUAGCGGUGAAAUGCGUAGAUAUCUGGAGGAACAUCAGUGGCGAAGGCGACUUCCUGGACCAAUACUGACGCUGAGGUGCGAAAGCGUGGGUAGCAAACA
RNAcentral lists this ribosomal RNA (207 nucleotides) under uncultured bacterium. RNAcentral describes it as "partial 16S ribosomal RNA". It matches the Rfam family "Bacterial small subunit ribosomal RNA", at positions 568 to 774 of the family's 1533-position model. The record is from RNAcentral.